This is a long non-coding RNA of Panicum hallii, 2941 nucleotides long. RefSeq lists it as uncharacterized. The transcript has 3 exons. The record is from RefSeq and is a predicted model, not a curated record. NCBI's taxonomy places the organism in Eukaryota, Viridiplantae, Streptophyta, Magnoliopsida, Poales, Poaceae.
CUGAAGCAUUUCCGGAUUUCAAUACACUCCCAAAGUCAUAUAAUGAAGCAAAGAAACUUCUAAAGGAUUUAGGACUUGGAUAUGAAUCAAUCUAUGUGUGCUGUAACAACUGUGUUCUGUUUUGGAAUAAUUAUGCUAAGCAUGACAAUUGUCCAAUUUGUGGUUUGUCGAGAUGGAAAGACCCUGAAAGAAAGAAGGUUCCAUAGAAAGUAUUGUGUUAUUUUCCGUUGGCACCUAGGCUAAAGAGGAUAUUUGCUUCCAAGCAGGGUGUAGAAGAUGCACAAUGGCACAAGUUAAAGAGGGAGCCUAGUGAAAAGGAAAUGAGUCAUCCAGCUGAUGGUGAGGCAUCGCAAGAUUUUGAUAGAGAAUAUCCAAACUUUGCCAAAGAUCCAAGAACCUCAGACUUGGCCUUGCUAUAAAUGGAUUCAAUCCCUUUGGCAAUUUUAAUACAAAGUACAUCAUGUGGCCUGUAUUUGUUGUUCCAUACAACCUUCCACCUUGGGUAUGCAUGGAUGAGUCAAAUUUAAUGAUGGCUUUGUUGAUUCCAAAUCCAACAUGCCCAGGGAAAGACUUUGAUUUAUUUCUAGAGCCUCUUGUAGAAGAUUUGACUAAGCUUUGGAAGGGUGUGUCCACUUAUGAUGCUGUUAGUGACAAAAAGUUCAAUCUCCGUGCUGCAGUUUUAUGGUGUAUUCAUGACUAUCCUGCUCUAAGUACUCUUUCUGGGCGGACUAUGAAAGGCUAUUUUGCAUGUACUCAUUGUAACAAGAAUCCUCUUUCAUAUGCCCUAAGGAAUAAAAUUGCGUAUAUUGGUCACUACCGUUUCUUGCCAAAGGGACAUCGUUUGCGGAGGAACAAUGAAUUUGUUGGCCUUCAUGGAACCAAUGAUCCACCAGGUAAAUUUUCUAAAGAAGAGCUGCUAGCAUAAUUAGAGAAGGUAAGCCAUAUUAGACCUGGGAUCAGGCAACCAGGAAGUAAUAGAAGGAAGCGUUCUGAAAUGGACAGUGGUAGCAGUGCUCAUGUGAGAAUUUGGAGCCGGAGGGUUUGUUUGUGGGACUUGGAGUAUUGGAAAAAUUUGAAGCUGAGACAUAAUCUUGAUGUCAUGCACAUUGAGAAGAACAUAUGUGAGAGCUUGAUUGCCACGUUUCUCCAUAUACUUGGGAAGACAAAGGACACGGUGAAUGCUAGGCUUGACCUAAGCGAUUUGGGAAUCAAAGAGGAGCUGCAGUUUAAAGAGGAAGGAAAUUGUUCUGAGAUGCCUCGUGCUCGAUAUACCUUGUCGAAAGAAUAGAAGAUUGCCUUUUGUAAGUUUUUAGGGGAGGUAAAGUUUCCAGAUGGCUAUGCUUCAAACAUCUCAAGAUGUAUAAAUGCUGAUGGUACCAAGGUACAGGGCCUAAAAACACAUGACUGCCAUAUUAUUUUGCAAAGAAUCUUACCUGCUGCCUUGAGAGGAUUUGUGGACAAGGAUAUUUAUGAAGCAAUUGCUGAGUUACGAAAGUUCUUCAGGGAAUUGUGCGGCAAAAGUCUUAACAAGGAUGUGUUGGCUGAAAUAAAAAAAGAAAUCCCUAUAAUAGUGUGCAAGCUUGAGAAAAAUUUCCCCCCAGCUUUUUUUGACGUGAUGCUGCACCUUGCUGUACAUUUAGCUGAAGAGGCGUUGCUCCAAGGCCUUUGCAAUAUGGGUGGAUGUACCCGAUUGAAAGGCGGUUGUACACUUUGAACGCUAUGUGAGGAAUAGGGCACGACCAGAAGGUUCCAUUGUUGAGGCUUAUAUUGCGGAUGAGUGCCUAACAUUUUUAUCUAAAUACAUGGAUGGUGUUGAAACAAGAUUUAAUCGAGAACCAAGAAAUGUAGGUUUUUCAAAUGAAGAAGCCUAUGGUGUUGAUGUUUUGGGCAUGGAGUUACUUUUACUUCAGCAGCAGAUGUAGUAUACGAUGAAAAUGAAAUUGAUUAAAUGGUGUGGUAUGUGUUGAACAACUCUAGUCAAGUUGAGGAAUAUAUCAAAAUGUUCAGAGCUGAAUUAGAGAGGGAAGGGGUGCCUAACAUUGAUAGAGCGCUUUGACAAGGAUUUCAGACAUGGUUCAGGAACCAUAUGAUGACGCGAUGAUAUAUAAGUCAAGAAGAGAUAGAUGAUGAUUUAUUUUCCUUGGCUUGUGGUCCUGAUUUUAGAGUUAGGAAAUACAAAUCAUGCAAAUGGGAUGCGGUUUAAUACUGUUGACCGUGAUUUGAACAAGAAGACACAGAAUAGUGGAGUAAUGACACAAGGUACACAUAAUAAUGAGGUUAUGGAUUUUUAUGGAACACUAAAAGAGAUCAUCCAGUUAGAUUACAAUGGUGAUGAAAUGUUAGUAGUUUUGUUCAAGUGUGAUUGGUUUAAAUUGGAUGGAAAGAUGACUCAAAUGAAAGAUGAUGGGUUUUUUAAAAGCAUCAAUGCUGGCGGUCUAUGGUACAAAGAUGAUUCUUUAAUUCUAGCUACUCAGUUCAGAAAAGUGUUUUAUUUGCCAGAUACAAAGUUUGGUAAAAAUUGGCAAGCUGUCCAAACAUUUGAUCAUCGACAUCUAUAUAAUGUUCGUGAAACAACUGUGCCGUUUAAUGGACCUGCAUAUCAAGAGGAUGAGUGUUGUGAAGAUGAGGGUAGGCGGCAAGUAGUUUCUGACUUUACAUCUAAGCAGCCAUUAAAUAGAGAUGAUGAAUGUGGAACCAUGUUUCAAGCUGCUGAGAUUUCCCGUUUGAGGAAUGAAAGGGCAAACCAUGUGUAUGAAAGUGACAGCGAAGACGACGGAGAUGACACAUAGAGACUAUAGCAGUGAAGAUGAAGGAGGUACCACAAUCGAAGUUGACAGUGAUGACGAGUAGUUGUGUUUUUCUUAAUUUUUUUUGGAUUAUGAUGAGUCGUUAUUGUAAAGCGCCCUAGACAUUCAAACAAUAUUAUGUUUUGUUAGGGCCA